UGGGUCUAAUUUUGAAAGAAAAAAAUACUAAACAAAUUCUAUUCCUAUGUUAUACCAUGGGCUGAAUUUUUAUCUCAGUUACACAGACUUUUCUGCUUUCUCUGCCAAAGAGCUAAUAGGCCCAACAUUUUGGAAUCUGGUACACGUAGGUCUACUCAUCUCCCACGUGACUAUUUAGGACAUAAUCAUCAGAAAAAAAAAAUUUCCCAGCAGGUGGCAGUGUUGCCCGGCGUUGUGGUCCCUCAGAGGCUGGAUGCGGAUUCAAAGCACAGCUGAAGUGGUCAACCUCUGUCCAAAUAACAUGUGGCCAAUGAUCACAGUAGAGGGGCGCAGUCGGUUAUCCACCACCGGUAACUUGUUAAACUGUUCAGUACACUACUUAUUCCUCAACAGCCUUGCUCCCAGACCACCUCUCUUCUACAACUGCACGUUGGUUCCCUUUGAUUAUUGGAAAAGUCUUAAUUCCUUAGUCUAAAAAUUAAAAACUUCCAUCUACUGAAUUCAAUUAGUUUCUCCGGCCUGAAGGACAUAAUUCCACCCCCAAAUACGUCAUGCAGCAGCCAUAUUGACUCCCUGGCCUGCGAAGAACUUGAAAGACAGCGGGUGCAGGAAAGUUCCGGAAUCUUCCUUCACUAUCUCGAAAGCAGAUGAAAUUCCCUGCCCAGCACCGGGAGGCUAUCAUCCUUAUCCUCAAGGACAGAAAGCCAAGGUCAGGGGAAAUCUGUGCAAAUAGUUCUUCCACAGUAAUUCUUAGUUUUCCAGUCACUUCUCCACCCACUUAAUUACCCUUUUUCAAGCCCACUGUCUUGUUAUGGUUCCACAGUUUAUGACUCUUUGUCCCAGUCCCUGUUUACAGGUCCAACUCUAACUGACUGGGGUCUUUGUUUCUUUACGAAUGCCCCAGGCUACAUCAAACCUGUGUUAAAUACAUUUGUUUGCUUUUUCCUGAUGGUCUCUCUUAUGUCAACUUGAUUCUCAGGCCUAGGUAGAAAACUCUAAGAGAACCGCAGUGAAGGUUUGCUUCCUCUACUGUGGCAGUCAGGAUGGGCAGCAAUAGGAGAAAACAGGAAGGAAGGAUAAGAAUUAGGAGUUUCCCACAGUAUCUUAGGACUAUGGAAAUUAUUGAGGAAAUUAAAAAAAUAAUUCGUUAUAA
Chinchilla lanigera (long-tailed chinchilla) is the source of this 1153-nucleotide long non-coding RNA. RefSeq lists it as uncharacterized. NCBI's taxonomy places the organism in Eukaryota, Metazoa, Chordata, Mammalia, Rodentia, Chinchillidae. The record is from RefSeq and is a predicted model, not a curated record. The transcript has 2 exons.